UGGGGAAUAUUGGACAAUGGGCGAAAGCCUGAUCCAGCCAUGCCGCGUGAGUGACGAAGGCCUUAGGGUUGUAAAACUCUUUCGUCGGGGACGAUAAUGACGGUACCCGAAGAAGAAGCUCCGGCUAACUUCGUGCCAGCAGCCGCGGUAAUACGAAGGGAGCUAGCGUUGUUCGGAAUCACUGGGCGUAAAGCGCACGUAGGCGGAUAGUUAAGUCAGGGGUGAAAUCCUGGGGCUCAACCCCAGAACUGCCUUUGAUACUGGCUGUCUCGAGGUCGAGAGAGGUUGGUGGAAUUCCUAGUGUAGCAGUGAAAUGCGUAGAUAUGUGGAGGAAUACCGAUGGCGAAGGCAGCCCCCUGGGCUAACACUGACGCUCAUGCACGAAAGCGUGGGGAGCAAACAGGAUUAGAUACCCCCGUAGUCCCUGAGCGGGCUGGCAAGGCGCAU
RNAcentral lists this ribosomal RNA (447 nucleotides) under uncultured bacterium. RNAcentral describes it as "bacterial SSU rRNA". It matches the Rfam family "Bacterial small subunit ribosomal RNA", at positions 355 to 825 of the family's 1533-position model. The record is from RNAcentral.